UACAUGGGGUGCAAACGUUGCUCGGAAUUACUGGGCGUAAAGCGUGCGCAGGCGGCUAUGCAAGACAGAUGUGAAAUCCCCGGGCUCAACCUGGGAACUGCAUUUGUGACUGCAUGGCUAGAGUACGGUAGAGGGGGAUGGAAUUCCGCGUGUAGCAGUGAAAUGCGUAGAUAUGCGGAGGAACACCGAUGGCGAAGGCAAUCCCCUGGACCUGUACUGACGCUCAUGCACGAAAGCGGUGGGGAGCAAACAGG
This 254-nucleotide ribosomal RNA is filed under the name uncultured bacterium. RNAcentral's name for it is "partial 16S ribosomal RNA". It matches the Rfam family "Bacterial small subunit ribosomal RNA", at positions 524 to 776 of the family's 1533-position model. The record is from RNAcentral.